GAACGCUAGCGGCAGGCUUAAUACAUGCAAGUCGUGGGGCAGCAUGAGUAGCAAUACUUGAUGGCGACCGGCAAACGGGUGAGGAACACGUACACAACCUUCCUUCAAGCGGGGAAUAGCCCAGAGAAAUUUGGAUUAAUACCCAUAAUAUAUUUGAUAAGGCAUCUUAUUAAUAUUAAAGCUUCGGCACUUGAUGAUGGGUGUGCGGCUGAUUAGAUAGUUGGCGGGGUAACGGCCCACCAAGUCUACGAUCAGUAGCUGAUGUGAGAGCAUGAUCAGCCACACGGGCACUGAGACACGGGCCCGACUCCUACGGGAGGCAGCAGUAAGGAAUAUUGGACAAUGGACGAAAGUCUGAUCCAGCCAUGCCGCGUGAAGGAUUAAGGUCCUCUGGAUUGUAAACUUCUUUUAUAUGGGACGAAAAAGGGCAUUCUUGUUCACUUGACGGUACCAUAUGAAUAAGCACCGGCUAACUCCGUG
Molecule: ribosomal RNA, 480 nt
Filed under: uncultured bacterium
Lineage: Bacteria
Description: bacterial SSU rRNA
Rfam family: Bacterial small subunit ribosomal RNA
Source: RNAcentral